ACGGUUGACCUCGGAUCAGGUAGGAAUACCCGCUGAACUU
Molecule: ribosomal RNA, 40 nt
Filed under: Verticillium dahliae
Lineage: Eukaryota; Fungi; Ascomycota; Sordariomycetes; Glomerellales; Plectosphaerellaceae
Description: partial 28S ribosomal RNA
Source: RNAcentral